This is a long non-coding RNA of Lotus japonicus, 4187 nucleotides long. RefSeq lists it as uncharacterized. The record is from RefSeq and is a predicted model, not a curated record. Lineage: Eukaryota; Viridiplantae; Streptophyta; Magnoliopsida; Fabales; Fabaceae. The transcript is spliced from 18 exons.
CCAUCAUUCACGUUUCCCCCUCAUUCAUCAACAACCAUGAAUCCUUCUCCACCACUACACUAAACCCCAGAGGUCAGAACAAAGCUCCUCCACCGUCCUCACUUUCGGUCGCUCCGCCGCCGUAUCUCCGGUCACCGCUCGUCGUGCAAUCUCUGCCCAGCCACCAAUCGCUUCGCCCCAUAGCUCCGACAUGCCUCUAUUGUUGGUUGUUCAUCUCCCCUUUCUUUAAUCGCUCCUUCUCUCUCACUCUGUUUGCCUUUUUUGCUGGUUGUACUUGUGGGAUCUAUAUGUAUCACUGCUAUGAAUGCUAUCUGUCUUGCUGUGGGAUGAACAGAGAAGUAGGAUGUGGUUGGAACUAGAUAUAUGUUACCAUAUAUCCCCUGUCGUUAAGAGGUCCUCACUCCAAUCCUCGGAUUUUUGCAACAGUUUCAUGUGGGAGAGUUAUCUUAACCUUUGUGCAAUAUUCAACUCUAUGGCUGUGGCAAGACGUUUCUUACAGUGUUUUGGUGAAGAUGAUCUGCACUCUUCCUUCCAUUGCAGCACCAUCUCUGUCAACCUUCUCCCUUAAUUUGAGGAAUUUGGAUAUUGGGUAUUUACACAUUUGGAAAAUUUGGAUACCAAUCCAAGUUUAGUGGUGUUGUAUUAUGCAUAAACUAGGUACACCUUUCCCUUGGAAUCACUAUUCCUAAGAAAGGUUUCAAUCCUGGCCAUUGAUUUCAAUUGGUUUGUAUAUUAUCAUUCAAUCUUGACCUUUGGUAUAUAACAUAUUGUUGGCCCCACCCUUACAUUUCUCUCACGUUUCUCUUUUUCUCUUUCCCCUUCUUUGUGGUAUUUUUCUUUUCUUCGAUGACGAAUUCUCUCCCCUUCUGACCUAAGUGCGUCUUUCUUUCCCCUUUUUCUUCUUCCAUGACCUAAUCGCAUGCAUCGAUCAUGUUUCUGCUGAAGGAGUACAGUGUGCUGCAGUCGUUUUGCUCUCCAAUUUUUGUACUUUUGAUGAUCUCACCUUCUGCGUUGGAGAAGUUUUGGUGGAAGGUGAAGACUGUGGGCAUUGGUUUGAUUUCGACAGAGAUCGUCACAUUUAGCAGGCUCUCUCACUGUAUAUUCUCUAAUGUGUGGGAGCAGUUGGUGUCAAUUGUAGUUGUUGCAGUUUCAAUGAAGAAGGUUAGUUUCUUUGAUUAGGGUUGUACAGUGUUAUGAUUGAUGCAAUUGAUUUAAGAUUUCGUGUGAUUUUAAUUUUUGUUGUUGAAUUGUUGAAUCCAUGCUGUUUUACUUGAUCAAAAUGAGAAGGGUGACAUUUUUUGUUGAAGUUGAACUUUGAUUUGAUUUGUUACUCUCUUUUGUCUGUAGAAGAGAAGAAUUAAUAGCAAUGUUUGUCAGGUCACUGUUUUGAUGUCAGCUUAGUACAAGAGGUUUGGUUUUGGCAGUGUUCCAGGCCCAACAAUUUACUUGCUAGCAUCCUUCAGUUUAAUUAAUUUGAAAUUGAAAUUUGUAAUGACCUACCUGUCUCACUUUGUAUCCGUCUAUAAAUACUGGUGUAUUGUGGUCUCUUUGUUGCUCUUGCUCAUAUCCUGGUUUGAUUUUGAUAUUGCUAUUGCUUCAUUGCUACCUAUCUUCAUAUCUGAUAUUUGAUAUUUGUCUUGUGCCUUAAUCUCAAUCAUGGCCUUUACUGCUGGUCCGUUCAACCCUCUGAGUUGCUUAUUUCCUGGAAAAGACACAUGGAAAAUUAAGAUUUUUUACUAGGAAGUCAGCUAUGCACGUGUUUCACUGCUCUGUUGUAUGGGAAGUUUAAAUCAAUUGCAGAAUUAGUUUUCGUUCCAGUCCAAGCUUUUUGAUUUAGGGUGCCAUCUGCUCUCCUUUAAUGACAAGGUGACAACGAGAAGGAGUAGAAUAGAUUGUUGAAGGAGAUUGGGGAAGUGCUCACUGUUUGUUGUCAAGAGUAGAGCAAAAUCAGAAGCUAAAGACGUCAUUUUCUUCGUCAGCUGAAGCUUUCCCUAAUGUCAGAAUAUGAGUGAAGAAGAAAUAGGCGAAGGAAGAUUGUCCACAAAAAUGGAUGUCUUUCCAAUCGUGAAAGGAGCAAAUGGAGGACUGGAAGAAACAGCAAAGUAAAAAAGUUGUGGGAAUUUACUAAUUGUCUUAUGAAAGUGGGUGCUAGACUUCGCCAUACAGCUUGUAGAAACGGGAAUAGAAAAUGAUGCUCUCUUGGCAUUGAUCAUUUUAUCUUUUCAGUUUGUCCUGGUCAAUCAUGAGUAUUACAAUGGUGUUGCAUGGAAGGAAUAGAUGGAGGAUUGGAAGAAAAAACAAAGUGUUGCAACCCUUUGCUGCUUCACUAUUCUAUAAGGGAACAUCGCAACCAUGUUUUCUUCCUCGCAUGUUUUGUGUUUGUCCUCUUAUGUUUGGGUGCUUUUGUCUGUUUUUUUUUUCAAUUUCUGCGAAAUUGACCCUUUUUUAGUUAAUCUUUUCAAUUUCUUACCAUUUACAAUAAUUUUCUCUUUUAGAACUCCUUUUGUUUCCGUUUUUCCACAAUCUGGAAGAGGGUUUAGUAAAUAGUAUGAUUGCGUUCUAGACCCAUUUGAAGACAAGUUACAAGUAAUGCUGAUCUCAUGUUAGACUUUCAUGUUCAAGAAGACUUCGACAUCACCACAAGGUUUUGGAGCAUCAUGUAGGGUUGAUUUUGGGAGAGAAGCUUGGAAAUUUGGUGUACCAGACACGAAUACUUAGGGACUGCAAUGGUUGUGCAGCAGUCCUAGACUCCACCUCAUUAUGCAGAGUUGCAGUAGUUCUGCUUUGGUAAGGUUCAUCAGUGUUGGACUGUAAAGGUGAGCAGUUCCUUCACUGGCCGCGAGGGAGUGGAGGCUCAGUCUGAGCAAAAGGUUGCAAGAAGCACCGUAGGAAGAAAAGCGGAUUUUAAAAUGAGGUUUGGUUUCUUCAUAGGCUUGAUUGAGAAAAUUCUAUCUGGGAAUGUGUCAUCUCUGCCUUCUCGACUUAAGGCUUAGUGAAAAAGAAGUAGCAGUUGAGGACACAACUCAAUGAGCCUCACUGCUGCUUAAGAAUUUUAAAUUUGGAAUUUCCCUCUUUGCAUUCUACAGCUAUAGAUGCACCUUUACACAAAUAUUGGGCAUAAACCAUAUAAGCCUCAGAAUUCUGACAAUAACUUAAGGAUAUGAAGUGGAACCACUGCAAGAAAUGGAUCUGAAGUGAAGUGGCUUCCCAUGGAGAAAUCCUGUUGAAAACAUGUGCCACAGUACACAGUUCCAACCACCACAACUGAAGGAAGAAGGUCGUUGCUGUCAAGGCUAGCUUCUAGAAGACUACCACGAGUGAGACUGAAACAAAAUUACCAGGAACCAAGACAUUCUAAGUAUUUCCCGUGACUGUGAGAUGUCCUUUAGACUUGGAUGCGAGAUUGAUGAGGAGCCACCUGAUAAGCUAGAAGUUUUUCAGAGCUAAGGUUGAACCCUUCUUGGCCAGAGACAUGGAGACAUCUAUUAACAACACUACAAAGGAAGGGAGAUCAAUUUUCUCUACUGUUGAUACAUUGAUACACUAUACCCCUCUUCCUGUAGUUUUGCUGCCUUCCGGUCCGUUAACUGGCUAAAAGAAACCAAUUAUGCCAUCUUCUCAAGAUGAAUGCUCCAAUGUGGUGAACUGUUUAUGCUUUGUCUGAAAGACUUCUAAAGUAGAUUAAUAGAUCCCAAAGUAUAAUUUCAGCGGUGUUAGCUUGGCAUGGGCUCAAGAUGCAAGUUCAUUAUUUUACACUAUGUUAGAUGAAAGCAGUGGCCUAACAGUAUUUACAGAAAGUGAUUCCAAUUAUUGCGUGGAAAUAACAAGCACAAAAGAUGGCAAGUUCACAACUGUUAACUUGAACUUAAGGACUUCAUUGGAGGAAGGAAGUAGACAAAAUGAAAAGGCCAACUCUUUUUUGUGGGUUUGUGAGUGUGUCACCAUUUUGCUGAGAAAAAUUGGUGUGAGUGCUGCAUCAGAGGGAGAAUUGGGAUAUUUGAAUAAAGGUGCCCCUUGGAGCAGUUGCUACCAGUUUUAUGUACUUAUCAUUUACGUUUCUUUGUUUCUGGUUGGAUAAUGUUAUUCACCAAUCACAUGUACCUUAAGGGUUAGAAGUGGUUAGGUUACAUUCUAUAUGAAUACUUGAUUCAUUUUCUAUAUAUUUCUGCAUUCCAUGGAUUUUGUAA